AACGAACGCUGGCGGCAUGCCUAACACAUGCAAGUCGAACGAGACCUUCGGGUCUAGUGGCGCACGGGUGCGUAACGCGUGGGAAUCUGCCCUUCGGUUGGGAAUAACACAGAGAAAUUUGUGCUAAUACCUUAUAAUGUCUUCGGACCAAAGAUUUAUCGCCGAGGGAUGAGCCCGCGUAGGAUUAGGUAGUUGGUGGGGUAAUGGCCUACCAAGCCGACGAUCCUUAGCUGGUCUGAGAGGAUGAUCAGCCACACUGGGACUGAGACACGGCCCAGACUCCUACGGGAGGCAGCAGUGGGGAAUAUUGGACAAUGGGCGAAAGCCUGAUCCAGCAAUGCCGCGUGAGUGAUGAAGGCCUUAGGGUUGUAAAGCUCUUUUACCAGGGAUGAUAAUGACAGUACCUGGAGAAUAAGCUCCGGCUAACUCCGUGCCAGCAGCCGCGGUAAUACGGAGGGAGCUAGCGUUGUUCGGAAUUACUGGGCGUAAAGCGCGCGUAGGCGGUUACUCAAGUCAGAGGUGAAAGCCCGGGGCUCAACCCCGGAACUGCCUUUGAAACUAGGUAACUAGAAUCUUGGAGAGGUCAGUGGAAUUCCGAGUGUAGAGGUGAAAUUCGUAGAUAUUCGGAAGAACACCAGUGGCGAAGGCGACUGACUGGAC
This 660-nucleotide ribosomal RNA is filed under the name uncultured Alphaproteobacteria bacterium. RNAcentral describes it as "bacterial SSU rRNA". It matches the Rfam family "Bacterial small subunit ribosomal RNA", at positions 28 to 734 of the family's 1533-position model. The record is from RNAcentral. Lineage: Bacteria; Pseudomonadati; Pseudomonadota; Alphaproteobacteria.